UACGGGGGGGGCUAGCGUUGUUCGGAAUUACUGGGCGUAAAGAGUUCGUAGGCGGUGCGGCAAGUUCGGUGUGAAAUCUCCCGGCUCAACUGGGAGGGUGCGCUAAAUACUGCCGUGCUCGAGUAUAGGAGAGGUAAGCGGAAUUCCUGUUGUAGCGGUGAAAUGCGUAGAUAUCAGGAGGAACACCUGUGGUGUAGACGGCUUACUGGACUAGAACUGACGCUGAGGAACGAAAGCGUGGGUAGCAGACAGG
RNAcentral lists this ribosomal RNA (253 nucleotides) under uncultured bacterium. Its description in RNAcentral is "partial 16S ribosomal RNA". It matches the Rfam family "Bacterial small subunit ribosomal RNA", at positions 524 to 776 of the family's 1533-position model. The record is from RNAcentral.